GGGGCAGCAUGGUCUUAGCUUGCUAAGACUGAUGGCGACCGGCGCACGGGUGAGUAACACGUAUCCAACCUGCCGUCUACUCUUGGACAGCCUUCUGAAAGGAAGAUUAAUACAAGAUGGCAUCAUGAGUCCGCAUGUUCACAUGAUUAAAGGUAUUCCGGUAGACGAUGGGGAUGCGUUCCAUUAGAUAGUAGGCGGGGUAACGGCCCACCUAGUCUUCGAUGGAUAGGGGUUCUGAGAGGAAGGUCCCCCACAUUGGAACUGAGACACGGUCCAAACUCCUACGGGAGGCAGCAGUGAGGAAUAUUGGUCAAUGGGCGAGAGCCUGAACCAGCCAAGUAGCGUGAAGGAUGACUGCCCUAUGGGUUGUAAACUUCUUUUAUAAAGGAAUAAAGUCGGGUAUGGAUACCCAUUUGCAUGUACUUUAUGAAUAAGGAUCGGCUAACUCCGUGCCAGCAGCCGCGGUAAUACGGAGGAUCCGAGCGUUAUCCGGAUUUAUUGGGUUUAAAGGGAGCGUAGAUGGAUGUUUAAGUCAGUUGUGAAAGUUUGCGGCUCAACCGUAAAAUUGCAGUUGAUACUGGAUAUCUUGAGUGCAGUUGAGGCAGGCGGAAUUCGUGGUGUAGCGGUGAAAUGCUUAGAUAUCACGAAGAACUCCG
RNAcentral lists this ribosomal RNA (656 nucleotides) under uncultured Bacteroidales bacterium. RNAcentral describes it as "bacterial SSU rRNA". It matches the Rfam family "Bacterial small subunit ribosomal RNA", at positions 66 to 711 of the family's 1533-position model. Lineage: Bacteria; Pseudomonadati; Bacteroidota; Bacteroidia; Bacteroidales. The record is from RNAcentral.